This is a long non-coding RNA of Salvia miltiorrhiza (redroot sage), 751 nucleotides long. RefSeq lists it as uncharacterized. The record is from RefSeq and is a predicted model, not a curated record. NCBI's taxonomy places the organism in Eukaryota, Viridiplantae, Streptophyta, Magnoliopsida, Lamiales, Lamiaceae. The transcript is spliced from 2 exons.
AUCCAUGAAGAAUUAAGCUUUAAUAAAGAAUAGAGAAUGGAUCCUAAGCGUUAGAUCUAACUAAUCCAAUGGCUACAAAUAAAACGAAUAAAAUAUAUAAAAAGGAAAAAGAAAUGCAUUAACAUUAAAGAGCUCCGAUUUUUUACAGUGCAAGGGUGAAAAACGUAAAAUACACAUCUCGGUAAAUCUGGAAGAUUCCAUGAUUUCCGACUUUCUCUCUGCCAAAUCUUCACGAUGAUUCGCGUGUAGAAUAGGGUUGAAAUUCAGACGACUCAUAUCUUCUCCACUAAGAAUCGAAAAUCUGUGAAGAAUUAUCCUGCGGAAUGGAAGAACAACUGGGUUUGUUCAAUUUCUGGGGAAACGGAACGCGAAAUCGAAAGAAGGAUGGGCUGCUGCUUAUUGAGGAGGUAAUCAUUUGGGGAUGGCCACUGCAGACUGUUGGAUUGCUUGGUGCAGCUCGAGUCGAACACAUGGAUCCCCGAGUACAGAAGGAGCUUCAUCGGGCACAACCCGAAGUUGAUUUCAGCUGCGAUGGAGUUCUUCAGAUUCAAGCUCACGAUCCAGUUUAAGAAGAUGGAAAAAGAGUUCUGGUUGGCACCUGCAUUUGGAGGCCAAAUUUUGCAAUAAAAUAUAUAUAUUCACUUUAUAGAAAAAAAAGUGUGUUCUAUUCAAUAAAAGUGAUGUUAUGUUCAUUGUAAAAUUGAGAUUAUUCGUUAUAUAAUAUAUUUAUGAAUGGUAUACUUUAUUUUUA